RNAcentral lists this ribosomal RNA (1998 nucleotides) under Triticum aestivum (bread wheat). RNAcentral describes it as "partial small subunit ribosomal RNA". Lineage: Eukaryota; Viridiplantae; Streptophyta; Magnoliopsida; Poales; Poaceae. The record is from RNAcentral.
AUGGCGGCGGAGGACGGCGCGAGGUCGCCCACCAGGAUGCUGGCGGAGGGGCAUCUGCGGAUCGCCACAGGCGGGCGGGCGCCGGCGGACGGCGGGAUCGCCGUCCGCCACAUCCCACACCACCACACCGCUAAGAAAGAAGAUGUUGGUGGGAAAAUUGAACAAGACAACCUUGGAGAUGCAAAUCUGUUACCAUCCCAAGAGUUGGGCAAAUUAGUUAAUGGAACUAAAAAGGUUCCUGCUACAUUAGAUGACUACAGGAAGCUUGUAGUUCCAGUAAUUGAGGAGUAUUUUAGUACAGGAGAUGUGGAACUGUCAGUUUCCGAGCUAAGGAGUCUUGGAUCCGAUCAGUUUCACAAUUACUUUGUGAAGAAGCUCAUAUCCAUGGCAAUGGACCGCCAUGAUAAAGAAAAAGAAAUGGCGUCAAUUCUGCUGUCUGCCUUGUAUGCUGAUCUAUUGGACUCCUCCAAGAUGAGUGAAGGUUUUAUGAUGCUUCUAGAGUCAACAGAAGAUCUGUCUGUGGAUAUACCAGACGCUAUUGAUGUCUUGGCUGUUUUUGUGGCACGUGCCAUUGUUGAUGAAAUACUGCCUCCUGUUUUUCUCACUCGAGCCAGAGCAUUGCUUCCAGAAUCUUCAAAAGGUAUUGAGGUUCUGCAGGUUGCUGAGAAGAGCUACUUGUCAGCUCCUCACCAUGCAGAGUUAGUUGAACGCAAGUGGGGUGGGAGCACACACUUCACUGUUGAAGAGGCGAAAAAGAGGAUCCAGGAUAUUCUGAGGGAGUACAUUGAGAGUGGAGACACAGAUGAAGCCUUUAGGUGCAUAAGGGAGCUGGGCCUUCCAUUCUUCCACCAUGAGGUUGUGAAACGUGCUCUCAUCCUUGGUAUCGAGAAUCUGUCGUCACAGCCAUUAAUCCUGAAGUUGUUGAAGGAAUCAACGACGGGUUGUUUGAUCAGUUCUAAUCAAGUGUCGAAGGGUUUUUCUCGGGUUGCGGAGACUGUUGAUGACCUGAGCCUUGAUGUUCCUUCAGCCAAAACACUUUUUGACAAGCUGCUUUCCGCAGCCAUAUCUGAAGGGUGGCUUGAUGCUUCAUUCUGUAAAUCUGCUGCCCCUGGUGAAGAUAUGUGGAAUGCAAGCAGUGAAAAGGUGAAGCAUUUUAAAGAAGAGUCUGGUCACAUAAUUCAGGAGUAUUUCCUCUCAGAUGACGUCCCGGAACUCAUUAGAAGCCUUCAAGAGCUUUCUGCCCCUGAAUACAACGCCAUUUUCCUUAAGAAGCUCAUCACGCUUGCUAUGGACAGGAAGAACAGGGAGAAGGAGAUGGCUUCUGUACUUCUUUCUUCACUCAGCCUGGAACUAUUUUCCACAGGUGAUAUCAUGAAGGGAUUCAUAAUGCUCCUGCAGUCAGCAGAAGACACCGCCCUCGACAUUGUGGAUGCUCCUAGUGAACUCGCCCUCUUCCUGGCCAGGGCAGUGAUCGAUGAAGUCUUGCUUCCACUGAAUUUGGAUGACAUCAGUAGCAAGCUGCGCCCAAACAGCAGUGGUAGUCAAACUGUCCAGAUGGCCAGCUCUCUGCUUGCGGCCCGCCAUUCCGGUGAGAGGAUACUGCGCUGCUGGGGUGGGGGCACUGGCUGGGCUGUGGAAGAUGCAAAGGACAAGAUCUCCAAGCUCCUUGAGGAGUACAACACAGGCGGCGACCUGAAGGAAGCCUGCCAGUGCAUCCGCGACCUUGGGAUGCCCUUCUUCAACCAUGAAGUGGUGAAGAAAGCGCUGGUGAUGGCGAUGGAGAAGCAGAAUGAAGCUAGCAUCUUGGCUCUGCUGCAGGAGUGCUCCAGCGAGGGGCUGAUUACCAUCAACCAGAUGACCAACGGCUUCGCCCGCGUCAAGGAAGGCCUCGACGAUCUGACCCUCGACAUCCCGAACGCGCAGGAGAAGUUCAGAGGCUAUGUGGAGCUCGCGACAGAGCGCGGCUGGCUGCUACCUUCCUUCGCCUCCCUGCCCUGA